CAUUAAUUUUGUUGGAUUAGAAUUUAUUUCUAAUUACUAUAUUAUCCUUAUUUGAAGUGAAUUUACCUAAACUACCCCUAACCCUAAAAACCCCAACCCGGUUACCCAUUUCCUCUAACCCUACAGCCACCAAAACCCUCCCCCAACAACCAGCAGCAGCAACGCUGCAAUGGAGAAGGAAAAUAGAAAACAGAAAAGGGAGAGGGAGUCAGAGUCGCGCGCCAGGGGAAGAGAAGAGGGAGAGGCGAGCCAGCAGCGGUGGGCCUCGCCGUCGCCGCCGAGCUGCUCGCCGUUCGCCACCAACGUCGAAGAAGAGGGAGAUCAGAAUCGGAAGUGAAGAGGGUCGCGUUCCACGCAGUGCAUUCGCGUCGCCCUCACCGCGCCGCAUCGCCGUGCCACCAUCACGCCAUGGAUCUGCUCUGUUCGCGAGCUGAGCCAAGGAAGGAGAGACGACCGCGACGGGGAGGAGUGGGAAAGCCGCACCGACAUUGUUGGAGUCUCACUGCCGCCGUCCCCGUGGUGGCUGGUGUCAUCACCAGAGAGAACCACCGGAGUUGCUGUCUGCCUCUGCUGGGGUUCGUCGCCACCGGAGCUUCCCUGGCCGACAGAUGCAGCCGCCGCCCUCCUAGCUGCCGCUGUUGGAGUUGAUGUUGCUCUAGCCUUGCCCUAACUCCAUCUUGAACUGAGAACCGCUACUGUUGGUGAGUUGCAUUGCCACUGCCCUUAACGGAGGUAGUUACUGGCUGCAUUUGGAAAUUUCUGUUGCAACUUGCGUUUGUUCUGGAGCUGUUUCAUCGGUUGCUGGAACUACUAACGGAGCUGGCUGAGUCACGGUAAUUCUGGCUGCCAAGGGCGGUUCUGUGGUUGUCGGAACCACUGCUGAAGCUUCUGUGCUUUGGUUCAGUUAGUAUUCCUUAGUUGCCGAUUAAGUUAUCGGAGCCACAUGUUGCGCGUAAGGGUUGUCCUUGCUGCUGCGAGAGUAAACAAAGCUAUGAUGUAAGCUGCCGGUAAAUUCAGGUUGAUUGAGAGUUCCGGUGACGCUUUUGGAUUAUGAUAUUGCGUUUUGAGGAUAUGGGCGCAGAAGUUACGAAGAGCUUAUUUAAUUGUUGUUGUGAUGCUCUGUAUUGUUUCAGUUAUGGUUUAUUGUACCCUCGCCCUUAUCUUGAUAUAUUCUGUAAGAGGGAUAGAAAUUGUAUUGGUUAAUGUGUGUAAUAUUAUUUAUAUAUAUGUAUGUAUAUAUAUGGAUGUACUCUUUAUGAGUUUCUGGAAGUUGUAUGGUAUGUAUGGAUGUACGUUGUAUAGCAAAAGUAUCUUUUUUGGGAGCGGUAUCGCGGUUUAAAGUUUUAAACAGGCUCAUAUUUUAGUAUUAAAUAGUAUAAGUGUCAUCGUAAUGUCCGAGGUAUCAGAGUUGCGCAGCCGGAAGCGUGAGCUUUGGUAGUUAGGGUGUUACAUUAUGGUAUCAGAGCGGUCUUUCCUGUAGAGCCUGAGGAAUGGACCGACUAUGCUUCAAUUGCAUACUCUGAGCUUUUGUCAUGUAUUAAGUCUUGUCUGAUGACGAGAAUUAGAGCUUUAUGCACAUGACGAUCUAUCGAUUAACACUGUUAGUCUUGCAUCGCAUAAUUCUUGGUAUUAAGUUUGGCCGGCUUGAUACUAGUGAAUUAUGUAUAUGAGAGCACUAAUGGGUUGUCAUAGAUGAUAUACGAGUUUUGAGCAAAGCGAAUCGCGGGUUUUGGAAACGUUAGAAACUAUUUCUCGAGGCUAUUCAGUUGUAUAUCUUGGAUUUUGUUCGAGUCGACCUGUUCUUUCAUAUCCUAACUUGAAGUUCUUGUUUGCUACUCCUCUUGAAAAGUAAUUUGAUGUUUCCACUC
Long non-coding RNA from Arachis duranensis, 1868 nucleotides. RefSeq lists it as uncharacterized. The transcript has 4 exons. Lineage: Eukaryota; Viridiplantae; Streptophyta; Magnoliopsida; Fabales; Fabaceae. The record is from RefSeq and is a predicted model, not a curated record.